AUUUCUAUAGUUGAAUAACAAGGUGGAUUUUUCGGGUCGGAGGUUCAAGCAAAUUUGAUGGAAAUU
This 66-nucleotide transfer RNA is filed under the name Pogona vitticeps (central bearded dragon). Its description in RNAcentral is "Glutamic acid tRNA". Lineage: Eukaryota; Metazoa; Chordata; Lepidosauria; Squamata; Agamidae. The record is from RNAcentral.